GUUAAAGCUUGACGGAGUGAAAGGUGUCGACGUGGAUUUGAGUAAUCAAGUGGUAAGAGUUCUUGGAUCUCUUCCUGUGAAAACCAUGAUGGACAGUUUGGAGAAGACAGGUCGUAAAGCCCGAUUGAUAGGGCAAGGCAACCCUGAUGAUUUUUUAGUUUCUGCAGCUGUUGCUGAGUUUAAAGGUCCAGCUAUAUAUGGUGUUGUACGUUUAGCUCAAGUGAGCAUGGAAUUGGCAAGAAUUGAAGCGAGUUUUAGUGGCUUGUCACCUGGUAAGCACGGAUGGGCUAUAAAUGAAUUCGGGGAUUUGACCAGAGGAGCAGCAAGCACAGGGAAUGUUUUUAAUCCGGCAAAUGAACAAUUGGAAAAGCCAUUCGGUGACCUGGGAACAAUUGAAGCUCUUGAGACCGGCGAGGUUUACUUCUCUGGUGCCAAACCAAUGAUCAAAGUUGUUGAACUCAUUGGGCGAUCAGUUGUGGUCUAUGAGACCGAGGACAAGUCUGACCCGGGCAUCGCAGCUGCCGUCAUAGCGAGAAGUGCUGGUGUUGGUGAGAACCGCAAAAAGAUAUGCACCUGCGACGGUGUGACCAUAUGGGAAUCAAUCUGAACUUUGUUCUCUACUAUCUAAGAUAGCUUUGCUUAAAGCCUGAGGGUAGGUAUAUGUGGUUCUCUCUCUGUUGUACACUACAUAGUAGAUACUCAUAUAACGAUAAAUAAAGUAAGCAUAUUACACUCUCUACUGGAAAGAUCUCCAUCUUCACCUUACAGGAGGGCUGGUCUGAUUGUAA
This 788-nucleotide unclassified non-coding RNA is filed under the name Hevea brasiliensis (rubber tree). Lineage: Eukaryota; Viridiplantae; Streptophyta; Magnoliopsida; Malpighiales; Euphorbiaceae. The record is from RNAcentral.